Molecule: non-coding RNA, 1970 nt
Organism: Rattus norvegicus (Norway rat)
Lineage: Eukaryota; Metazoa; Chordata; Mammalia; Rodentia; Muridae
Source: RefSeq, a predicted model, not a curated record
ACCAAUGAACACUCCAUAGGAGUUGGCCUUUCCCUUCACCAUGUUAGUUCUGGGGAUCAAGCAUGGCAGCAGCACUGACUGGCUGUAAAAGUCAGGUAUUUGAUUGUUUUCUUUUUAAAUAUUCUAUUAUACUUUAUUUAUUUAGCUGGAGUGGAGUGGGAAAUAUGGAGUCAGAAAACAAUCUAUGGAAAUCAGUUCUCUCUUUAUCAUGUCGGUCCUGGGGAUUGAACUCAGGUCCUCAGGCUUGGUUGCAAAUGCCUUUACCUGACAUCUCUCAAGCCCAAAAAGUUACUUUCAACUGUCAGCUAGCUUACAUUACAUUCUAGAACUUAGAAUCACAUGAGAGGAGAGCCUCCACUGAGAAGUCUAGAUCAGUUUGUCCGGUAGACUUGUCUUAAUUGAUGUAGCAGACAUAGCUGCUAUGUGGGCUGCAUCAUUUCCGAGAGUGAAGAAAGCUACCUGAAUGAGCCAUCAGGCAGCACGGGCACAUUAUCUCUGCUCCUGACUGACGUGACGUCUCAAGCUCCUGCUUCUGUGACUUCCCACAAUGGCGGACUGUUGUGGAGGUUUGAAUGUAUUUAGCCCAGAGUAUGGCACUAUUAGGAGGUGUGGCCUUGAUGGAGUAGGUGUGACUUUGUUGGAGGAAAUGUGUGACAGUGGGAGUGUGCUUGGAGACCCUCUUCCUAGCUGCCUGGGAAACAGUCCUCUUCUGGCUGCAGUUGGAUCAAGAUGUAGAUCUCUCAGCUCCUUCUCCAUCACCAUGUCCGCCUUGCUUCCUGCCUUGAUCCUAAUGGACUGAACCUCUGAACCUAUUUAUACAUCCAGUCUCAAAAACAUAGAAAAGGGGACAGAGAGAAGAUGCAGCGUUUAAAAGCAUUUCUCUUCCAGAAGACAUGGUUACUGUUCGCAGACCCACAGCAGGCAGCUCACUACGGCCUGGACCUUCAACUCCAGGGAUCUGGUUUCUGGCCUGUACAGCAUUCACAUGCACAGACCCACACACAUUCUAAGUAAGAUGUUGAAGAUUUCUCCAUUGCGUGCGCUCUCUCUCUCUCUCUCUCUCUCUCUCUCUCUCUCUCCUCUCACACACACACACACACACACACACACACACACACACACACACACACACAUGCACGCACACUAUAGAUGUAGAGAGAUAACUCAUGCAAUGUCAGGAUGUCUGUGGAGACGUCCUGAAAGGACAGAGCACACGGCUCACCUGGCGACUGGAGAAUUGCUACUACUUCACUGUGGCCUCUUUCUCGAGCUUUAUCCAAUGGUGUUUUCCCAUCUUCAUCUCUGAGAUCCGGAUUUGCACCAUGCCGUAACAGAGUCUUAUAAAGAAAAGUAUUUCAUUUAAGAACAGCAUUUCUUAUAACUCUACAAUUUAAAGAUUUCUACCAGCUGGGAAGACGGCUGAGCAGUUAAGAGCGCUUACUGCUCUCAGAGGACCUGGGCGAGACUCCCACAAUCACCUAGUGGCUCACAACCACCUGUAAUUCUAGUUGCAGGGUAUCCUAUUCCUCCUUCUGACCUACACAGCUCCUGAACACAAGUGUACACAUGCAAACACUGAAGCACACAAACACAGACACAUCAAAACUAAAAGGAAAAAGAUAAAUUUUAAAAAAAUCUUUAAAAAGGCUUCUCAGAAUCAAAAAGGCAGAUACGAUUACAAGCCUCACCCUGGACCUAGUACCUUAAAAGCAGAUGUUCGUAUCUCACAGAAUUAUACAUAAUUGCACUUGGUGAUUUACCAUCCCUAAAUUAAGAUAUACUCAAAUCUGACUCUCUCAUUUCUUCAAACUCCAGCCAGUUUUUACUUUAAAACAUGGUGUUGGCUAUGACAGGCAAUCGGCUUCAGCAUGUUCUAUACAGCAUCACUUAGCAAUCCUUUGACCAAAAAUGCAUCGACACUUGUCUCUUUUGUCUCUUUCCUUUUUCCUAUUAAACGUUUUAUAACCUCA